AUACGGAGGAUCCGAGCGUUAUCCGGAUUUAUUGGGUUUAAGGGGUGCGCAGGCGGCCAUUUAAGUCAGCGGUUAAAUCGUGGGGCUCAACCCCAUUCUGCCGUUGAUACUGGGUGGCUUGAUUGCGGUCGAGGUUGGCGGAAUUCGUUGUGUAGCGGUGAAAUGCAUAGAUAUGACGAAGAACACCGAUUGCGUAGGCAGCUGACCAGACCGCAAAUGACGCUCAUGCACGAAAGUGCGGGGAUCGAACAGGAUUAGAUACCCUGGUAGUCCGCACAGUAAACGAUGAAUACUUGUUUUCGGCGAUAUAAUGUCGGAGGCAAAGCGAAAGCGAUAAGUAUUCCACCUGGGGAGUACGCCGGCAACGGUGAAACUUAAAGGAAUUGACGGGG
Molecule: ribosomal RNA, 392 nt
Filed under: uncultured bacterium
Lineage: Bacteria
Description: partial 16S ribosomal RNA
Rfam family: Bacterial small subunit ribosomal RNA
Source: RNAcentral